CAACACUUGGUCCCAAUGUGUUGUGUGUAAAUGUGUGCUUAGUAACACUGCUGUUUUGCUUUCGUAAGUACUGUACCCCCUGUCAGCAUGUGGCUGACAGAACCCUGUCACUUUCUGAAAUUUAGUUCAUGAGCCCAAUUAUGUAACCUGAAACUGCACUCACCUUACUCACUGACCAAGGUCCAAAAAUAUGCAGGAUCCCCCUUGUGUUGCAGUUCUCUGGUUAAAACCUCACGUCUGCAAAUUAUUGAACUUGAAGAGUUUUAGAAAACCUUGGCAAUGAUGAAUUUAUUGGAAACUGUCUUUUAAACUCUUAUCAUAAAGGAAUACUGACAGCAAAUUUCUAUUUAGGUGUGAAAAAUACCAAAAUUUGUAAUGAUGUGGUUCUCAACAGCAGAUUCCAACUGUCAGUAAGAUAAGAACAAAUCUAAAUUGUUGUUUUAAGGAAUUUGACAUUUUGGGAAAUAUGCUUAUUUGCCACUUGUAUACCAGAAGCCAGUUAGCUUAGCGUAGCACAAAGACCAGACAGAUCACCCACAUCAUUUCAUUAACCCUGUAUUUACUUUGUUUAAAGGCCCCACUUAGUACCUAAUUUUAAUAAGAAAAUUUAAGUUUCCAAUAUCCCAAGAAUGUGUAUUUCAGGUUUCAAGUCAAAAUACUGCACAGAUCAUUCACACUAGUAUGCCUUUUAUGUUUGUAUUUUAGACCUGUUAAAUAUGGGCUAUUUCAGCGUUUGCAGCUUUAAAUCUAACUGAGCUGCUGCUGCCCACAUCUUCAACAGAAAGAGGGUUGUAGGUAAACCUUUCUCUGAAUCUACUCUGUUCAGUGAGCGGCAGAGAGGAGGAGGAGCCAGCUGGGGGCCGGUGCUAAUCCUGUAGUGGCAUCACAACAGGCUGCAAACCUGAAAAGCUCAUUUAGAGACACACUGAUUUAUGUAGAAGAAAGAGAAAGAAUACAUUUUGUGGCUGUCGUGACACACUUGGGACAGAUAGUUAUUUUCAAGAACAAAUAAAAACUGAAUUUUGCAUAAGAUGGUCCCUUUAAUCUAUUAAAAAAAAAACAAAAACAAAACAGAGUCUCAACACAUUAGAGCGAGCGAGUAGCUCAGGGGAUAAGAAGAGAGACUACCAACUGGAAGCUAGCAGGUUCAAGACCCACCACUGGCCUUUAUUUGGGGGCAGUGGUGGUGCAACAGUUAAGUCUCUGGACUACUGAUCAGAAGGUCAGAGGUUCAAGCCCCGACGCGGCCACUGUUGGACCCUUGAGCAAGGCCCUUAACCCAUCCUGCUCCAGGGGCGCUGUACUUUGGCUGACCCGUCACUCUGACUCCCCCAAUUUGGGAGAUAUGUGAAAAUCAGAAUUUCCCCUCGUGGGAUUAAUAAGGGAUAAUAAAUUAAGAUCUAUGUGGUGUUCCUUUCAAGAAGUCCCUGCUCACAGCCAACAAAAUCAUCUGGCACAUAAACUCCUGCAAAACACUGCUCUUUUCAGUAUGGAUUUUAAAAGCAAGCUUUAGAGGUGUUGGCAGGCAGAUUUUGUUACUUUUGAUUGUUUACUGUGUGUCCAGUCUUCAUGCUAAGCUAAGCUGCCUGCUAGCUGUAGCUUCAUAUUGAGCAUAGAGACAUUAAAGUAGUGUAUCUUCUCAUCAAAGUCUGAACAAAAAGUGAAUAAGUGUUUUCCCAAAAAUUUAAGUCUUCUUUUAAUAUUGAUUAUUUGGUCCUUGAUAAAUUCAGAUUUAUGUGUAGAACUGCAUCUGAGAGGUGGGAUGUGUCCGACCACACAGCUGCAGAGCCAGUCUGGUGGUGAAUCAGUGGGUGAUGUUGUUGUGAGUUAUAGCCCAGCAAUCUUUGUCAGUUGUGUUAGACUAUCAGGUAAGAGACUGCCUUCCUGCUUGUUUAGAUGUAUCUACCAUUAUUGUCUGCUCUAGCUUUCGUAAUAGCACAUGAUGGGUCGUGGUUAGCGCCUUGCAUGGCAGCUUCCGCCAUCAGUGUGUGAAUGUGUGUGUGAAUGGGUGAAUGUGAUGUAUAAUGUAAAGCGCUUUGGAUAUCGUUUCCGGUAUAGUAAAGCGCUAUAUAAAUACAGACCAUUUACCAUUUACCAUGGCAGAAAAAUCACGAUGCCCCUGCGGAAGACACCAGAUGUUUAGUUUGUAAUGAUAAUUAUUUAAAUGACACAUACAUCAUGGCUAACAGUAGUUUGACUGGUGCAGGGGCUGGGACUAGUACAGUAAGAGGGUCAAUAUACACGGCCCACAUUACACACACUUGCCUAAGAAAGGGUGCUGAGGAUACAGUGUACACGAUACCAACUUUGUAAAUUUCUAAAUGUCUCACAAGUUUGGUGGACGGUUCUCAUGAAAGGCACCACCUCCCAAGGACGUGCUGAGACAGGGUGGGGGUGGGUCGGUCAGCUGGUGCUAUGAUGCUAUACCUUGAAAUUCACUGUGUUAAAAAAAAAAAGAAAAUGAGGGAUAAAUGGUAACCACAGAUAUUUUUCUGAGCUCUUCGAAUGUCAAGAGAACUAUACUUUUGAUUAAAGCAGUUUCACGGGAUGGGAAGCUGCCCUGGUGCUGACUUCAUGAGAAGUCUUUUGUUACAACGCUACAAAUUUGCAUCUCUUUUUGAGGGCAGGAGGGCACUCAAACAGUUGAUUACAUUCUCUAUUAAUAUUCAUUCCAUAUUGUACUUGAAUUCAUUUAAACUAGGAUGAGAUAUAGAGUCAUAUUAUAUGAAGACUGUUAUCUGGGUUUCAUAUUUGGUACAGCGCAAGUACCAAAGGCUAUUAAAAUUAUCUUUUGAGUAUGUUGUACAUGUUCAUGUUAACCUAAUGCUAAGAUAUUUGAACAAUACAAGAACUGUGUGCUACCCCCCUCUUUCUAUUUGUGCACUUCCUUUACUCACCCACUCUUUUUCUCUUAAAUCUUGUAUAUUCUGUCAAACACACAAACAUAGAUAUACAUUUGCAUCUAACUGUGUAUGGCCCACUUUUCAAAAUUUAUGAACACCUGAUUUUAACGAACACUCUCCAAAUUUGGACUUGGACCCUGGCCCAUACAAAAAAAAAAAAAAAUAAUGAAAAUGAACCGACGCAACUGGCAGCUACAUUCCUCUUUGAGUUUUAGGAUUGUUCUUGGUUUCUUAUUUUUCAUGUCAAGGAUGCAGUAUGUAAAAAAAAUUGUGUUUUUGUUCAGUCUCUCUCUCUUUGUAGCUGUAUGGUGUAUUAUGUGAAUACAUAGUGUAUGUGGUAAAAACCCCACAAUAUUGUUUUAUGUUGCGCGAUAAAUAAAAAGAUUGAAGUGAAA
Molecule: long non-coding RNA, 3298 nt
Organism: Amphiprion ocellaris (clown anemonefish)
Lineage: Eukaryota; Metazoa; Chordata; Actinopteri; Pomacentridae
Source: Ensembl